AACGAACGCUGGCGGCGUGCCUAACACAUGCAAGUCGAGGGAGAAAGCCGCAAGGCGAGUAAACCGGCGAACGGGUGCGUAACACGUGGACAACCUUCCUUCCUGACCGGGAUAACUGGCCGAAAGGCUUGCUAAUACCGGAUAUGCCCACGGGACCUUCGGGACCUGAGGGGAAAGGCGGCCUCUGCAAGCAAGCUGUCACAGGGAGAUGGGUCCGCGGCCCAUCAGCUCGUUGGCGGGGUAACGGCCCACCAAGGCAACGACGGGUAGCUGGUCU
Molecule: ribosomal RNA, 277 nt
Filed under: uncultured bacterium
Lineage: Bacteria
Description: partial 16S ribosomal RNA
Rfam family: Bacterial small subunit ribosomal RNA
Source: RNAcentral